This is a long non-coding RNA of Drosophila montana, 2716 nucleotides long. RefSeq lists it as uncharacterized. The record is from RefSeq and is a predicted model, not a curated record. The transcript is spliced from 4 exons. Lineage: Eukaryota; Metazoa; Arthropoda; Insecta; Diptera; Drosophilidae.
AAUAGCGUUAUUAUAAGUAUUGAAUGUCUCUGUCAGGAUAUCGUUAUGAUCGCGAUCCAACUUUUCUUCUUUUCUUUUAUUAUUUAUAAUACGGUAAAUUUCCGUUAGGGAUGAAUGCAAUCUCUCUAUUGGAGAAUCGCUCGAAGAUUGUUGAAAAGAAGAGACGUGUAGUUGACUGUUGUAUUGCUUGCAGAAGUCUUUUAAAAUUUUUCCUGAAAAUUCCGCACCCUGAUCACAUAUCAUUUUCUCCGGAAUGCCGAAAGAGGCGAAAAACUUCUCAUAGAUUUCCCAAUAUUUAAGCUGUCCUGGUGUAUCCGGUCGCAAACUUUGAAAAUUUAUCGAUAAUCGUUAGAAUGGUGUUGUCAUUGAUCUCUAUAUAUAAAACUGUUUGUCCUGACUGACUGACUGACUGAUUGGUGAUCACCGCACAGCCUAAACCGUAAGAGCUAGGAAGCUGAAAUUUUCACUGUAGUUACCUUAUGUGAUGUAGGUGCACGUUAAGACGGGGUUUCGGGAAAUUCCAAUCGCAAGUAUGGAAAAAUCGAGAAAAAGGUUUGUAUGUAACUUUUUUGUUUACCAUCCGAUCGGCCUCAAACUUAUUUUAAACGAUCCUUGUUCAAAUUCAUUUGAGGGGUUUUUCACACUUUUAGGAAAAUCCAUUCCUCCUUGAUGGAAAUGGAGGUCAAAGAUUUGGUGGGUGACGUUUCGCGCUCAAAUUCAUUUCCAGAGAUCUAUAUGAAAAAUCAUUUGAGACGUGUUGCACACUUUUCGCAGAAUUCAAACUUCUUCGGGGGGAAUGCGAUUUACAGAUUUUUUGGGCGAAGUUUUAAGUUGUGUCCGAUUUGCUUCAAACUUAUUUUCAAAGCUCUACAUAAGAACUUAAUAAAUACGUAUAUCAGCGAUUUGGGAAUUUCCACCCGCAACAGUGGUAAAUUGGCGGAAAACGGUUAUAUGAAAGUUUUUUGUUUACCAUUCGAUCGGCCCCAAGCUUAUUUUCAAAGAUCUAUGUUCAAAUUCAUUUGAGGGGUGUUUCACACUUUUUGAAAAGUCCAUUCCUCCUUGGUGGAAAUGGGGGUCGAAGAUUUGGUGGAUAACGUUUUGUGUUCAAAUUUAUUUCCAAAGAUCUAUAAGAAAAAUCAUUUGAGACGUGUUUCACAUUUUUCGCACUCUAAACUCCUUCGGUGGAAAAUGCAUUUUAAUCAGUUUCAAAGCUUUUUGAUACAUUGAUUUUAUAACAUACUUGCCGCGGGCGAGGCCGGGUUAUAACCGCUAGUAGUAUAUAAAUCUAUGUGUAUGAUUUGCAUUGGUCUUGCUGGGGUUUCGGUUUCUUGGUAAAUUAGCUUUUGCGGCUGUCUAUUAUAUUUUAGUGUUUGACAUAUAUCGCAAUCAUUGAUAAUGGCGGCCACUUGUUGCGGAACUGCUUGUUUCUCAGUGGGCCGCGCCGGCUGGCUCAUCGGUUUCUCUGGGUGUAGUCCCAUCCCUGGCCCGCAGUACGCACAAUCGAUAUCAACAAAACUACAACGUCUGUAGCGAAACAUACCUAUACAACACUAAAUGAACCACAUAAUCGAUAAGAACAAACAAUCGGAACUUCUAACAAAUGAACAACACUAACAGCUGUAACAACAAGCUGUAACACCCCUACAAUUACCUUCACUCGUCUCCCUCGUUUUGGCCACUUGUCGGCCUAUAUCAGCCCGUGUCGUUAACAAUUAAUGUUUCUUAUUUCUAUCUAUUUAUCAAGGUAUCUCCAUUUGGUUAUUUAUUCUACGAAAGCUGACAUUGUCUUCGGUUCGUCAACCGACUUUAAAAACUUUACUUUAAAAACAUUAAAUGGAACAGGCGACGAAAACUGCAAAGUUAUUUCCCGUCGCCGCAAAAAAAGAAAACAAGAGGGCAAUCAUGAGGCAAUCGUGGCACGUAUGUCACGAUAAUCAGUCGUGCAACAGGCGCAUACGCAUAACCUUUGGAGUUUCCCCUCACUGUUCGCACUCUAAAGUGAAGCUUGGCGGAGCACAAUCUGGAGUCUAUGUCUGACUCUGCCAAUGACUCGAACGAAGAGGGGCGAAAUGGAACAGAGUCACUCGUAGGAUGUGUGGCCGACACUUCGCUGUGGGAGCCCGGUCGUUGGUGGCUCGUCUCGCCGUCUUAGGGUUGCGCCGAGGUACGUAUGACGCGGAUAAUUCUGACAUGCACCGCGGAUAUGGCUGACGUGCGCCGCUGAGCCAAAUCCUGGCCUUUUGGGGUGACCUGCUGAUCACUCUGGUCCGAGAACUGGUCCCUUCGUCGUCGGAACUGGGAGUCGUUUUUAUUUAUUAAGUGUCUCAGGGUUUUUACGAGUUCAUCACGUGUCGCACUUAAGUUGUAAGUCUUUCUAAUUUUUUUGUGUGUAUGGUGACCCAAAUGGUUGAAUCUACGUUUAUUUAUUAAAUUGAAAACACAAAACAAAGAUUUUACUUGUUUGUUAAAUUUUUUUGUUUGUACGCGCCGGCUGAACUUGCCGGAUGGAAAAACUCGAAUAUUCAGAGCCGACAUGCAAAACUGGAACUUUACGCUCGCUUCGAGCUGGCACGGCCGCCGUUGACCGCUGAUCAAUUCGAACUCCCGGCUGUACAUUUGGGCAGCAACAUCGGUGCCGAAUUUCGGCACCGUUACUGUCCAUCUGAACAGCUGCAUUUUUUUUGGGUCAACGGCCCAAAUGAAGGCCAAGGGUAUA